This 512-nucleotide ribosomal RNA is filed under the name uncultured Acaulospora. Its description in RNAcentral is "SSU rRNA". It matches the Rfam family "Eukaryotic small subunit ribosomal RNA", at positions 569 to 1081 of the family's 1831-position model. Lineage: Eukaryota; Fungi; Glomeromycota; Glomeromycetes; Diversisporales; Acaulosporaceae. The record is from RNAcentral.
AGCAGCCGCGGUAAUUCCAGCUCCAAUAGCGUAUAUUAAAGUUGUUGCAGUUAAAAAGCUCGUAGUUGAAUUUCGGAAUCUGUCCGUUGGUCGGGCUUAAUUGUCCGUACUGAUGUGAUGGGUUCUUACCUUCUGAAUAACCAGCAUGUCAUUAAUUUGGUGUGUUGGGGAAGCAGGACUAUUACCUUGAAAAAUUAGAGUGCUCAAAGCAGGCUAGCGCCUGAAUACAUUAGCAUGGAAUAAUAAAAUAGGACGGCAUGGUUCUAUUUUGUUGGUUUCUAGGAUCACCGUAAUGAUUAAUAGGGAUAGUUGGGGGCAUUAGUAUUCAAUUGUCAGAGGUGAAAUUCUUGGAUUUAUUGAAGACUAACUUCUGCGAAAGCAUUUGCCAAGGAUGUUUUCAUUAAUCAAGAACGAAAGUUAGGGGAUCGAAGACGAUCAGAUACCGUCGUAGUCUUAACCAUAAACUAUGCCGACUAGGGAUCGGACGAUGUUAAUUUUAUAAUGACUCGUUC